This 720-nucleotide long non-coding RNA is filed under the name Salvia miltiorrhiza (redroot sage). RNAcentral's name for it is "long non-coding RNA (SMIL_LNC000467)". The record is from RNAcentral. Lineage: Eukaryota; Viridiplantae; Streptophyta; Magnoliopsida; Lamiales; Lamiaceae.
CCCCAUCUCCAUCAAAUUCAACUGCCGUAACCUCCUAAAUAAUCAAACUCUAUAAAAUUAUUUUAUUGACAAAGCUUCUCUUAUUCUGAAAACCAUAGUAAUGAGUAUCUUACCGCAUCACUAUCACCAGCAACAGCGACACAUCUAAUCGACCAACUGAUGACUUAGUCCUCGUAUCAAAGCAUUCAACAGCCCCAUCCUCACCACCACCACGACUAAUCCAUGGACUUUGCUGAAUGGGCCAACAGAAAAUAUAUAUUAAAAAUGCUAAUAAGUCAACAGUAUGAAACUGUGCUUAAGAAAAUCAAAAUGAAAAAUCCCAAAAAAAACAUAGAUGCUCAACUUUAGUUUAAAAAUGACAGAUUUUUCUACUAGAUGAAAGGGGUCAUGUACAGCGCCUUUUGAGCCAUUAAACUGGAACACAAAAUCUUCAGGAAACCUCAUAGCAGUAGUACUGAGUUUAGAAAACUCAUUUAACAAUUACUUCAUUCAAGUAUAAAAUUAGCCUUGCAUUAAACUAGAUAUUGAGAAGUUUCCAACAGUUGAAUGGUAAGAAAGUGAAGAUGAAAAUGGAAAAGCAGCAAAGCUUCCAAAAAUGACGAAAGAAAAAAGUAUUAGAACACAUACAACCAUGUAUAAAAUUCUUGAGAAUACCGUAAGGGAUUGUAGCUUUGCAUUUCACACCAUUCAUGAACACACAUAACAUGCAUCAAGAGAAAA